GAUGAACGCUGACAGAAUGCUUAACACAUGCAAGUCUUUGGCGAAGCUGUGCUUGCACAGCCUAGCCAAGGCGGACGGGUGAGUAACGCGUAAGGAACUUGCCCUGCAGUCAGGGAUAACAGACGGAAACGACUGAUAAGACCUGGUAAAGUCAGGCGGACUCAUGUCCAGCCUGAUGAAAAGAGAUGCUGCAGGAGAGCCUUGCGUCCUAUUAGCUUGUUGGUGGGGUAACGGCCCACCAAGGCGAUGAUAGGUAGCCGGCCUGAGAGGGUGGACGGCCACAAGGGGACUGAGAUACGGCCCUUACUCCUACGGAAGGCAGCAGUGGGGAAUAUUGGACAAUGGGGGCAACCCUGAUCCAGCAAUUCUGUGUGCACGAUGAAGGUUUUCGGAUUGUAAAGUGCUUUCAGCAGGGAAGAAAAAAAUGACGGUACCUGCAGAAGAAGCGACGGCUAAAUACGUG
Molecule: ribosomal RNA, 463 nt
Filed under: uncultured bacterium
Lineage: Bacteria
Description: partial 16S ribosomal RNA
Rfam family: Bacterial small subunit ribosomal RNA
Source: RNAcentral